Callithrix jacchus (white-tufted-ear marmoset) is the source of this 686-nucleotide non-coding RNA. The record is from RefSeq and is a predicted model, not a curated record. Lineage: Eukaryota; Metazoa; Chordata; Mammalia; Primates; Cebidae.
UAACCCUGCCUACCCCCCAUCCCCGCCCGCUUUGGGCAGCUCGAGACAAAAAUGUUUCCUUCUUCCCGGUGGUUCUCCUUGGCCACGCGGUGGUUUUCAUUAUGUACACAAAGGCACACAUAGUUACUUUUGGUGUCUUAUCUUCUGAAGCUGCGUCAAGGACAAGCAAGGAGACUUGUUAAAAAGUUAAGUUACUUUUCACAGCCUGCAGACCCUUCAAAGGCAAGAAAGCAAAUAGAAACUUGAAAAGGCAAAUAAGCCAGAAAAGUGUACUAAUAAAUGCAGUUAACAGGAUUAUUUUUUGAUGCCAGAUCCACCAACUGAAGAUUGGAGGAUGUAUUUGUUUCUUCUACUCAGCAACAAUUGACAAAGCAUAAUUUUCAUCAAGGCCUGUGUUCUAGGUGGAGGAAGGGUAUUACCCAGUUAUUAGAUCUCUACUUCUAGUCUCUGGAAGGCAGAUACUUUUAUAAAAAAAUACAGACAGCCAGGCUCUAAACACUGGACAAGAGGUCUGUAAUGAUCCAGUCACAUCUCAGGUCAAAGGGUCUUGGACUGCUGAAGAAAGAGCUGACCAUUUGUCUUAAGGGCCUGGAGCUGGCCGAGAGCCAUCUUGCUGUGAUUUUAUCAGCCCCAUCAGGAUAAUUAUCCUCCUCUUUCUUGCACAAAUAAAGUAACUGGUGCUACUA